RNAcentral lists this ribosomal RNA (402 nucleotides) under uncultured bacterium. Its description in RNAcentral is "bacterial SSU rRNA". It matches the Rfam family "Bacterial small subunit ribosomal RNA", at positions 356 to 773 of the family's 1533-position model. The record is from RNAcentral.
GGGGAAUAUUGGGCAAUGGGCGAAAGCCUGACCCAGCAACGCCGCGUGAAGGAAGAAGGCCUUCGGGUUGUAAACUUCUUUGACCAGGGAAGAAGAAGUGACGGUACCUGGAAAACAAGCCACGGCUAACUACGUGCCAGCAGCCGCGGUAAUACGUAGGUGGCAAGCGUUGUCCGGAUUUACUGGGUGUAAAGGGCGUGUAGGCGGGAUUGCAAGUCAGAUGUGAAAUGCCGGGGCUUAACCCCGGAGCUGCAUUUGAAACUGUAGUUCUUGAGUGAUGGAGAGGCAGGCGGAAUUCCUAGUGUAGCGGUGAAAUGCGUAGAUAUUAGGAGGAACACCAGUGGCGAAGGCGGCCUGCUGGACAUUAACUGACGCUGAGGCGCGAAAGCGUGGGGAGCAAAC